RNAcentral lists this non-coding RNA (148 nucleotides) under Chlorocebus sabaeus (green monkey). The record is from Rfam by way of RNAcentral. Lineage: Eukaryota; Metazoa; Chordata; Mammalia; Primates; Cercopithecidae.
GCCAGGCAUGGUGGCUUGUGCCUGUAAUCCCAGCUACUUGGGAGGCUCAGGCAGGAGGAUUGCUUGAGCCCAGGAGGUGGAGGUUGCAGUGAGCCAAGAUCACGCCACUGCACUCCAGCCUGGACAACAGAGCAACAUUCUGUUUUUU